This 640-nucleotide long non-coding RNA is filed under the name Bos grunniens (domestic yak). RNAcentral's name for it is "lncRNA (ENSBGRG00000019685.1)". Lineage: Eukaryota; Metazoa; Chordata; Mammalia; Artiodactyla; Bovidae. The record is from RNAcentral.
AUGGAGACGGGACUGCCGGUCGUCGGGUGUCCUGGAAGCCGAAUGCGAAUGCGGAGGGGCUCGCGGGCCGCGCGGAGGCAACCCAGGUCGGGCCAACGGGCCGCACCUCUCGUCGCGGGGCGUGCUGUACUUGAGCCGCACGACCCGCGACCGGACUCCAGCCUGCUGACGCCGGCCCGCCCCCCCGAACACCGCCAACACCAGACCAGCAAGCGCCUGGCCGGGCCCGGGGGCCCGAGGGGCUUCCAGGACCCCCCAUUGACCGGGAGGGCGUGCGUGCAUGCGUGCGCGCGGGGCCUGGGGGCUGGGCUGAGGGGUGCGGAGGUCUCGGCGCCCUCCCACCCGCGGCCACUCCAGACCCGGCCGCGCUCGCUGAGCGGGGCCUCCCCCCGAUCCCAUUCGCUGCUCAGGCCCGCGCGGCCCCGGACGUGUCGGUCUUCGGCGCCCGCCGCCUCCCAACCCCCGCGGCCCAGGGGCCUCUGAACCUCCUGCGGGCCUAGGCGCAGCGAAACUUGAGCGCCCAACUUGCCCGGCACCUGUCCGGUGCCCAAACCCACCAGAAGCCAGGGAGGCGCGGUCGACCGAGCGCCUCAGCCCUCCCUUCGCACUACCGAGGCCCCCUUGCCCCCACGCCAAGCCC